AGAAAAAAUAGUAGUUUGAAUGACUUUGGUUAUAAUUUUUUAUUUCUAUGGUUACGAAUGAUCACAUUAGGCAUCAGUAAAUAUAGAUACAUUUUAAAUGUGGUUUUGUGUUUGUUUC
Long non-coding RNA from Etheostoma spectabile (orangethroat darter), 118 nucleotides. RefSeq lists it as uncharacterized. The transcript is spliced from 3 exons. NCBI's taxonomy places the organism in Eukaryota, Metazoa, Chordata, Actinopteri, Perciformes, Percidae. The record is from RefSeq and is a predicted model, not a curated record.